AACGCGAAGAACCUUACCUACCCUUGACAUGCUCGGAAUCUGGUAGAGAUGCUGGAGUGCCUUCGGGAGCCGAGACACAGGUGCUGCAUGGCUGUCGUCAGCUCGUGUCGUGAGAUGUUGGGUUAAGUCCCGUAACGAGCGCAACCCCUAUUCUUAGUUGCCAACAGGUAGAGCUGGGAACUCUAAGGAGACUGCCGGUGACAAGCCGGAGGAAGGUGGGGAUGACGUCAAGUCCUCAUGGCCCUUACGGGUAGGGCUACACACGUGUUACAAUGGCCGGUACAGAGGGAAGCGAAGCCGCGAGGUGGAGCGAAUCCUGAUAAAGCUGGUCGUAGUCCGGAUUGGAGUCUGCAACUCGACUCCAUGAAGUUGGAAUCGCUAGUAAUCGCGGAUCAGAACGCCGCGGUGAAUCCGUUCCCGGGCCUUGUACACACCGCUAGUC
This 442-nucleotide ribosomal RNA is filed under the name uncultured bacterium. RNAcentral describes it as "bacterial SSU rRNA". It matches the Rfam family "Bacterial small subunit ribosomal RNA", at positions 958 to 1398 of the family's 1533-position model. The record is from RNAcentral.